Molecule: small nucleolar RNA, 68 nt
Organism: Trypanosoma cruzi
Lineage: Eukaryota; Euglenozoa; Kinetoplastea; Trypanosomatida; Trypanosomatidae
Source: RefSeq, a predicted model, not a curated record
AUGGUGCCGCUGUUUGUUUUGCAAUGCCGACCCACGUGGGGGAGGAACGAAGCCUUGACUACUGGCAA